AAUAGUGUAAAUAGCAGUAUAAAUAGUAGCAAGCAAGAGAAAAAGUUAAAAAAACGAAUGUAUCGUACAAAGUCUAAUGCAUAGGAUUUUUUUACAAAAAUUGAUACAACACAUGCUCGAUGCAAUAUUUGUAAGAAAAUAUUUAAAAAUUGUGGGAAUACUACUAACUUUUUGAUACAUAUAAAGAAACAACAUGAAGUCGAAUUUAAUAAACAAUAUUUAAGUGGUUCAGAUUCUGAAGGAUUAUGUUCCGAGGAUUCAAAAUCAAUCACCUCCACAAAUGUCUGUGUUUCAGAUGGAUGGACAUCCAAUGCAAAUGAAAGCUAUUUGGGUAUUACGUGUCACUUUUUUAAAGUAACUAAUUUUUUGACUUUGCAUUCUACUACCUUAGAUGUAAUAUUAAUUGAAAAAGACGAGACUGCAAAUAACUUAAGUCAGUUAAUCAGAAACUGUUUAACUGAUUGGGAAAUAUUUGACAAAGUGAAUCAUAUUGUAACUGAUAAUGCAGCAAACAUGAAGCUAACUGUUGAGUUGCUCAAUAAAAAACAUUUUCCAUGUUUUGCACAUAGUCUCAAUCUCGUUUUGAAAAAUGCUAUUACAAAAUGUAAUAACAAAGAGGUUCUUUCAAUUAUUACAAAAUGUAAAAACUU
This is a non-coding RNA of Nylanderia fulva, 650 nucleotides long. The record is from RefSeq and is a predicted model, not a curated record. NCBI's taxonomy places the organism in Eukaryota, Metazoa, Arthropoda, Insecta, Hymenoptera, Formicidae.